Long non-coding RNA from Gigantopelta aegis, 370 nucleotides. RefSeq lists it as uncharacterized. The transcript has 3 exons. NCBI's taxonomy places the organism in Eukaryota, Metazoa, Mollusca, Gastropoda, Neomphalida, Peltospiridae. The record is from RefSeq and is a predicted model, not a curated record.
CGGAAAAUAGCAGGAUCCUGGAGGAUGACCACUGACAUCUACACCAGCUACACACAGCGUGGGACAUCAACAGAUGAAGCAGAUGAUGAAAGAUCCUACAGGACGCCAGCCGAUAAAAUGACAGAGGAGGACAUCAUCAGCAGAUAGCGAUGAUGAAGGAUCUCAAGGACGACAGCCAAUAUAGUGAGAAACGAGGACAUCAUCGGCAGAUAGAGGUAUGUUUGGUAUUUCACCCGUAACAGGAAUGCAUGGGAAUCUACCAUGGAUCUGUGGAAUUAUGUGAAUGUUUUGUAGCUCAGGAUUCAUCUCAUUGUAUUAGGGGAGUGGGUGAUAUAUCAUGACUUCUGGCAUGGGUCAUUGAAACAUAAUC